This is a long non-coding RNA of Octopus bimaculoides (California two-spot octopus), 5555 nucleotides long. NCBI's taxonomy places the organism in Eukaryota, Metazoa, Mollusca, Cephalopoda, Octopoda, Octopodidae. The record is from RefSeq and is a predicted model, not a curated record.
UUAAUUUUUUUUUUAAAGAAAUUUAUUUCCUUUUCUCCCUUCUUUCUCUUUCUUCUUUGUCACCUUCUAUAUCCUUUUCUAUUUCAAAUCAAUAUUAUCUGUUAUGCUUCCUCACAAACAAAUACGCAUACAUGCUCAUACUACUAUUAUUAUUACAAAGGUGACAAGCUGGCAGAAUUGUUAGCACAGCAGACAGAAUGAUUAGCAACAUUUCAUCCAUCUUUACAUUCCGAGUUCAAAUUCCACUGAGGUCAACUUUGCCUCUUAUCCCUUUGGAGUUGAUAAAAUAAACACCAGUUGAGCUCUGGGGUGGAUGUAAUCAAUUUACCCCUCCCUAGAAAUUGCAGGACUUGUGCCAAAAUUUGAAACCAUUAUUAUUAUUACAUUAUUACUAUCAUUAUCAUUAUUACCGAAGAUAGUGAGCUGGCAGAAACGGUAGAAUGUCAAGCGGUAGAAACGGUAGAAUGUCAAGGCGGUGAGCUGGCAGAAACGUUAGCACGCCAGGUGAAAUACUUAGUGGUAUUUCGUCUGCCGCUACAUUCUGAGUUCAAAUUCCACCGAGGUCAACUUUGCCUUUCAUCCUUUCAGUACAUUCUGCAAAGUGGAUGGCAUAGGAAGGGCAUCUAACUGUAGAAACCAAACCAAAACAGACAAUUGGAAUGUGAUGCAGCCCCUGACCUGGCCAGUUCCUGUCAAGCUGUCCAACCCAUGCCAGCAUGGAAAACAAGCAUUAAAUGUUGAUGAUGAUGAUGAUGAUGAUUAGUUCCCUCUAUGUGAUGUCCCCACCCCCUUAAAAUUGCUGGCCUUGUACCAAAAUUUGAAGCAUUUAUUAUUGUCAUCAUUAUUACCUCUGCCUUAGCAAAGGUGGAGGUAUUGUUUUUCAGUCACAUUUGUUUGUUUGUUUGUCCAUGGACAAGAUAUCUCAAGAACUGCUUGAUGGAUUCGAAUGAAACUUUCAGGGAUGUUUGGCCUCAGACAAGACAAAAUGCUUAGCAACAUUUUGUCGGACUAUACAUUCUGACUUCAAAUUCUGUUAACGUCAACUUUACCUUUCAUCCUUUUGUGAGUUGAUAAAAUAAGUACCAGUCAAAUACAUGGGUCAAUAUAAUCAACCGUUAUAUCCCCUUAAAAACGGCUGGCCUUGUGCCAAAAUUUGAAACCGUUGUAUACCAUUUGUUUAUCAUGCUAUCAUUAUUUGACUGCUCAGAAGUAGCAAUAGACAUAAUGUUUGUUUUCAUCAGGUCCGCAAACUUCAGACAUAAAGUACAUGUUUUUGUUUGUUUUUUGUUGGACAGAAGCGAUGUAGAUUUUUGUAUGGUAUUGAUAGCUGUCUUUAUUUACUACAGCUGUUUAAAGUAGAAUGAGUGUGUUUUAGAAAUUUAGGUUAGUGCUCCACCAUUAUUGAUUCUAUAAUUGCCCUCCCCCUCAUUCUUAAGAGAUGUAACCUAAGGUUUGAAUUCCUUUCAGGCAAUAUGGUGGUUCUCAUGUAUAACAACAAUGUCAUAAAACAUUUGUUGUUUCUCUAUCAACAAUCACACCAACACAUCUUCUGUGUUUUAUGAACCUGUCUAGAUUUAAUUUUAAAAGUCCCCAUAGUGAUAAUAUUUGUCGCCUACUAUUAGAAAAGGCAUGUAGCCUAGUGGUCAAGGUGUUUGGUGCGUGAUCAUAAGAUCAUGGGUUCAAUUCCUGGAUGAGUAGUGAACUGUGUCCUUGAACAAGACACUUCAUUUUAUACUGUUCCAGUCUGCUCAGCCACAGUAAAUGACUACAGGUGCUGGUGCAGCUCUCUCUCUCUCUCCCUCUCUCUCUCUCUUCCUCUCUCUCUUUCACCUUUUAUUUCAUCGACUCCAAAAGGAUGAAAGGCAUUUGAACUUGGAAGAUAAAGACCAAUGAAAUGCUGCAAAGCAUUCCAGGGCAAGUGUCUUCCAUUGUAGCCUUGACCCAACCAAAGCCAUGCGAGUAGAUUUGGCUGAUGAGAACUGAAAGAAACUUGUCUUGUGUGUGUGUGUUUUUGUGUGUGUGUGUGAUUUUAUGAUAGAUGUAAAGGAGUGUCACCAUUAUGCAAGAGGUGUCCUUCAUUUCCAGUCUUUCGUGAAAACAUGCCUGGUCAUAGGGAAAUAUCACCUUGCUUGGAAACAGAUGAGGGAUGGCAACAGGAAGGGCAUCCAGCCAUAGAAAGUCUGCCUCAACAAAUUCUCUCUGACUCAUGCUAGCAUGGAAAAGUAGGCAUUAAAUGAUGAUGACGACGAUGAUGAUGAUAGGGAGGAAGAGGAGGAAGAAUUGGUUUGCAAGAAGAAGACUAUGCCAAUGUCCUUUGUUGGUCCUGUCUCCACCCUGUCUUCAAAGAAUGUGUGAAAUCAAUACUGUUAACAUUUUUGAAUAAUAAUAAUUUGAUGAGUACAGGGAAAAAGAUGAUCGUAUCCCAGAGAAGAGGUGGAGGCAGCUUAGACAGAAUUAUUAGCAUGAUGUGAGUGGGGUAGCAAACAGGAACGGAUUAACACAGAUUUGGGUGUGACAAAACAAGGAGACAAGAUUACUAUGAUUGUACACCCAACCACCAUCGUUAUCACGACCAUCAUCACCCAAAUCGCUACCUCCACAUUUGAAAAUGGUUUUUAAAUCAUCUUAUCUCAGGACUCAGCUUGGGUUUGGUGUGAAGUAUAGCUGUGUUGGAAGGGGUUGAUGCUUGUCUGUGGGAAGUUAAGGAGCAGUGAACUGAAGUGUUAUUGGCAUAAGAGUGACAAAAUCCGAAGUAGAAUAAGUAAUGAUAGAAAGAAUAACCCUUUCUACUAUAGGCACAAGGCCUUGAAUUUCUGCAGAGGGGACUAGUCGAUUACAUCGACCCCACUACUUGACUAGUACUUAAUUUAUUGACCCCGAAAGGAUGAAAGGCAAAGUCAGCCUCAGUGGAAUUUGAACUCAGAACAUAACUAUUUAUUUAUUUAUUUAUUUAUUUAUGUGUUUCAGCCAAGUGGCUGCGGUCAUGCUGGUGCAUGCUAAGCAUUUCAUCCAGCAUGCUAACGAUUCAGCCAGCUCACUGCUUUGAUAGGAAGAAUAACGAGUUGUGAAAGAAGCUGUAUUGAAAACUGUAUUUCUUUAUUGCCCACAGGGGGCUACACACAGAGGGACAAACAAGGACAGACAAAGGGUUUAAGUCGAUUACAUCAACGCCAGUGCGUAACUGGUACUUAUUUAAUUGACCCCCCAAAAGGAUGAAAGGCAAAGUCAACCUUGGCGGAAUUUGAACACUCGAUGUAAUGGCAGAUGAAAUACCAUUAGGCAUUUCACCCAUCAUGCUAACAAUUUUGCCAGCUUGCCAAAACUGUAUUGAACACGAAAAAAAACAACAAAGAUUUUGCUUAAAAUAACAACAAAAUUCAUGUCAACAGGAAAAAAAAGCUGAUGUACAGAUGAUAAUGAUGAUGAUGAUGUCGAUUAUGAUGAUUUCAGAAUAUCAUUUCAAAAACUUACUAUAGAAUAAACAAACAAUAUAAAAAUAGGGAAAAACUUCCAUUUGACUGACUUCAUAACCAUUACUUCAUUCACCGCCAACCACAUCAAGGUAACAACAACACCAUCAUUAACGUUAACAACAAUAACAACAACAACAACAGCAACAAUAAUAAUGACAAGGACAAAAGCAUGAAUCAUUUUUCAAUAUGCAACAGCUGUGAAUGAAGGAAGGCAAUGGAGGUUAGAGAGAAACACAACAAUGCUUUAAGUCUCAAGGUCUUUAUUGGAAAAUAAAUAUGUCAGCUGUGAUAUAAAAGGAUCUAGAUAGAAAUACGUAACUGUGUGACCAAAAUAUAGGUCAAAUGUAAUUGUUGUGUUGUGUUGCUGUUGUUUCUAGCAAAUUUUGGUGGUAUACCUUCUCCAAAGUUCUCUAAUAUUUUUAUUGGUGUUUUUGUUGUUAUUAUCAUUAUUGUCGCUACUGUUGUUGUUUAGCACCAGAUUAACCCUUACUGAGGACACCUACAAUCAAAGGCAUUCUAGCCAUGGCCAUUGCAUAUAUAUUUUAUGCUGUUUCAAUAAAGAUAUGCUAUCCAGAUGUAUCUAGGACUACAUUAUGAAAUGUGCUUCCCUCUAUAUGAUAUAUAUAGGUGGCUGUGAGGUAAGAAGCUUGCUUUCCAACCACAUGGUUCAAGGUUCAGUCCCACUGUGUGACACCUUGGGCAAGUGUCUUCCCUCCACCCAGCCAUUGCUUGACGACCGAUGUCGAUGUAUUUAAGUCCCUGAAACUUAACAGUUCACUCAAAGAGACCGAUAGAAUAAGUUGUUGGCAUCCUUUUGUCUCGGGAGACAAUGGAGUUGCGCACAAACUAAUCCAGCCUGGUUUUUACAUUUCAUGUCCUCUCCAGUUUCCUCUCCAGUUUUGCGCAGGCCUGGGCUAGAUGUAAGAAAAUCCUGGGUAGCCCAAUCGUCAGGAUUCCUCUCUCGACCUUGCUGACAUAGUCCAAAGGAGUGCAGAGCAUUACGUUUGGCACCAGAUUGGUUUCAGGAGCUGCCAGAAGAGUGUCGAAUCGAACACUAAACCGCCUACGGGCCUCCACUCCAGAUUUCUUUGAAGGCUGUCUCCUUUCUGUAACCCUGGAUAGGGACCCAUACCUGGUACUGUCAGCUCGAGCCAGCCGAGCCCGGGACUCAUGUCAGGCAGAGUCGUCACUCCCUGAAGUAGUGAAGAAAAUUGCUACCCACUACCUAAAUAGAAUAAGUACUAGGCUUACAAAGAAUAAGUCUUGGUGGUCUAAACAACAGACUAAGGGUCUACAACUUCUUGCUGAACAACCAGCGGAGAUGAUUUGUUUGCAGUGAUCACAUAUUGGUGCUACACAUUAGCUCACUCCUCUCCAUCAAAUUGACAUUACCUGUCAGGUGUAUGGGAGUGCCACAUGUUGGAUGUCAAAGCAAUUGCAGAGCGAACUGAAAUGAAGUAUUUUCCUUAAGAACACAAUGCAUUGCCCGGUCUGGGAAUUGAAACCACAAUCGUGAGUGCAACACCUUAACCAUUAAGUCAUGUGCGCUUAUAUAUAUUUCAUCAUCAUCAUCAUCAUUGUUUAAUGUUUGCUUUCUAUGCUGGUAUGGGUUGGACGGUUUGACAUUGAGAUGGCUAGCAGGGAGCUGUCCAGACUCCAGCUGCCUGUUGAGGCAUUGGUUUCUAUGAUUGGAGAUGUGUGUGUGGUGUGUCUACAAACGUAUAUACAUGUAGACCAUUUCUGAAGACUGUGAAAUAUGAUUUGAGGGAGAUUUCUUUAACAUUUCUAUAAUGAUGUGUGACUGUACACAACCAUUCUUGUUUAAUUAUUUGUUUAUGAUGACAAUUAAGCCCUAAUUAACACUUGAAUUGAGUAAUAUGUGAUAGCUUAGUUUCCAACGCCUAAAAUGGUGAUGGGUAGUGUAGGGUCAAAUUUGAGUUUUAUAUCUUUAUUCAUUUUGUUGUUAGUGUGAAAGAGUUGAAAUGAAUUGCUGCUAAACACUAAAUGGGCAGGAUCCACUUAAUCAAUUGUUGCCUCUGAAAAAAAUCUGUGGCCUUGUGCUAAUGCUACAAAUCAAUAUUG